AUUGAACGCUGGCGGAAUGCUUUGCACAUGCAAGUCGAACGGCAGCACGGGGGCAACCCUGGUGGCGAGUGGCGAACGGGUGAGUAAUACAUCGGAACGUGCCCAGUCGUGGGGGAUAACGUAGCGAAAGUUACGCUAAUACCGCAUACGAUCUACGGAUGAAAGCGGGGGACCGUAAGGCCUCGCGCGAUUGGAGCGGCCGAUGUCAGAUGAGGUAGUUGGUGAGGUAAAGGCUGACCAAGCCGACGAUCUGUAGCUGGUCUGAGAGGACGUACAGCCACACUGGGACUGAGACACGGCCCAGACUCCUACGGGAGGCAGCAGUGGGGAAUUUUGGACAAUGGGCGCAAGCCUGAUCCAGCCAUUCCGCGUGCAGGACGAAGGCCUUCGGGUUGUAAACUGCUUUUGUACGGAACGAAAAGGCUCUGGUUAAUAACUGGGGCUCAUGACGGUACCGUAAGAAUAAGCACCGGCUAACUACGUGCCAGCCGCCGCAGUAA
This 500-nucleotide ribosomal RNA is filed under the name uncultured bacterium. Its description in RNAcentral is "partial 16S ribosomal RNA". It matches the Rfam family "Bacterial small subunit ribosomal RNA", at positions 30 to 523 of the family's 1533-position model. The record is from RNAcentral.